Long non-coding RNA from Oncorhynchus masou masou (cherry salmon), 1480 nucleotides. RefSeq lists it as uncharacterized. The transcript has 5 exons. Lineage: Eukaryota; Metazoa; Chordata; Actinopteri; Salmoniformes; Salmonidae. The record is from RefSeq and is a predicted model, not a curated record.
UUUAGAAACGGUGUUGUGUCCAGUAGUCGAUUACAAUUUCAGAUAGAGUUGUGUCACGCGUUAAAUGUAAAGUCAAUGCUUUUGCCACCUUUUAUUAUAGGUACAGAACGGCAAAAGUGCCAUUUCCAGAACGGCAGAAGUUGAGAGAGGAAAGUGGAGUCAUUUUUGAAACAGCCCAGUGAGAAGGAAGUUAUUUGCCAAAGGAAGUGCCUCAGCAUGAACUUUAACAUUUUUUAAAAGUAUUCAUCAAGUCCUUUGUACCCAUUAUGUGACCUUGAAGCAUUCAUCAAAGACACCUGAUGAAGCGCUACCCAUCGGAUAAGAGGUGUUUGAAACGUGGCUUCCCCGACGACGAGAGAGGGAGUUUAAGCGAGGAGAUGGGAGAUUGUGGAUCUCGGAGAAGGAGGUGAUUCAUCACCUGGCAUUGAGGGUAAUGAGCGAGGCGUGGAGGUGAACACAUUAAACCAAGCCGACUUUGCCCAGCCCAGCCAGGAGGGAUGAUAGAGACGGUACAGGAACAGAGGGGUAGCGGCCAGGACCAAACCAGACCCUCUCCACAUCCCUUCCAACUCCUCCAUGGUGGCCCCACACCUGUCCAACACUGGGAGGCGAUUUUACACAACAACAACACUAGAACAGAUGCACAAUCCGAGAGCAUGCUAUCGGGCUGUAUCACAGCCUGGUACAGCAACUGCACUGCCCUCAACCACAAGGCUCUCCAGAGGGUGGUGCGGUCUUCACAACGCACCACUUGGGGCAAACUACCUGCCCUACAUGACACAUACAGCACCCGAUGCCAGAGGAAGGCCCAAAAGAUCAUCAAGGACAUUAACCACCCAAGCCACUGCCUGUUCACACCGCUACCAUCCAGAAGGCAAGGUCAGUACAGGUGCAUCAAAGCUGAGACCGAGGGACUGAAAAACAGCCUCUAUCUCAAGGCCAUCAGACUGCUAAACAGCAAUCACUAACUCAGAGAGGCUGCUGCCUACAAUGAGACCCAAUCACUGGACACUUUAAUACAUGGAUCACUAGUCACUUUAUACAAUGCACUCUGAAUAAUGGCACUUUAAUAAUGUUGACAUAUAUUACAUUACUCAUAUCACAUGUACAGUAUAUACUGUAUUUUAUCCCAUCUACUGCACCUUGCCUAUGCUGCUUGGCCAUCACUCAUCCAUAUACUUACAUGUACACAUUCUCAUUCACCCCUUUAGAUUUGUGUGUAUUAGGUAGUUGUUGGGGAAUUGUUUGACUACUUGUUAGAUAUUACUACACUGUCGGAACUAGAAGCACAAGCAUUUCGCUACACUCGCAUUAACAUCUGCUAACCAUGUGUAUGUGACAAAUACGAUUUGAUUUUAUUACCUCACACCCUGCACAUCGACUCAGUACUGGUACCCCAUACAUAUAGCCAAGUUAUCCUCACUCAUUGUGUAUUUAUUCCUUGUGUUAUUAUUUUUUAUAUAUCUCUCUCUGCAUUGUU